UUGAGAUAUGAUGUGCAGAGGUUGAUGCGUGGUGUUUAUUCGUCGAGAGAGUGUGUUAGACAGGGUUUUGCAUUGGGUUUGACUGCUUUGCUGGCCACAAUUCCUAGCAUCAAAGUGGACUCCUUGUUGAAACUUAUAGUUAAUUUAUUGGAGGUCCCGUCAUCGAUGAAGGGUCAGGAAGCAAGGGAUUGCCUUCUGGGUUGCUUAUUUGCAUAUGGUGCUAUUGC
This is a long non-coding RNA of Hibiscus syriacus, 227 nucleotides long. RefSeq lists it as uncharacterized. NCBI's taxonomy places the organism in Eukaryota, Viridiplantae, Streptophyta, Magnoliopsida, Malvales, Malvaceae. The transcript has 3 exons. The record is from RefSeq and is a predicted model, not a curated record.